AUAUGAUAUUUGAUUAUUCAGAAUUUCAUAAUUUCUACUUUCAGGUAAUCAUUCGAUUUCUGACGAGGAUAUAAUUAUCAGUUGUUUGGAAUUAGAUCCAGACAGUCUAAUAAAAAAUAAAUUACCAGAAAAUAUCGAAUAUCAAACCAUUUUUAACAAUCGAAAGAAUAUAAUAUGGGAAUCUCUUGAACAUUUGUUGGAUUCUUAUAAUAGCGAUAACGAGAAAUUGUGCAAUAAUGAUAAUAAUAUGUUGUGCAGACUAUGCGGGCUUCAUAAUUUUUUUGGUACUAAGUAUAUAAAUCAUUAUGGUGGUUGUAAUAAGAAAAGACAAUGUAUGUUUGAUUUUCAACUUGAUGAAGCAAUUUAUGAUAGAGUUAUGAUAGAAGAUAUAUACAUAAAAAGCUUGGAUAAAAACUCUCAAAUGUCUAAAAGAAUUGCUAUAUUUAGGAUAGGAGGAAAUCCUUCUGAGACAUGAAAGAUUAUCAAAAUUAGUAUAGUAAAAACUCGUUAAUACACGGAUUUUUAUUAACCCAGUUAUUCAUUUAUCUUUUAACGUUAAAAAAAAUCACAGUUAAUACGAAUAACUGCAUAUGUUUAUAAGCAUCUCUAACUUUUAAAUAUUAAAAUAAUCCUGCUUAACACGUCGAUAAAAAUCAAAGAAAAUAUAACAAUUUAUCAUCAAAUGAAAUAACUUAAUUUUAUUAAAAAACGAUUCAACUAAAAUAAGACGUUUUAUCAGUUUGUACUUUACAACCUUCGCAGAUAGUUUGGUCGUUUUAUACUAUCAAAUUAUAUCGUACAAUAAUAUAUGUAUAUUUAUGUAUAGAUAAAGUGUUAUAAGUUUUCAUUUUUUCUUAAUAAUUUGGUUUUAAAUCCUAUUUAAAUCUCUUCUAUAGUGCAUCAAAGGGAUCUCACUUAAUACGCCUUCCAGUUUAAUAUAUGGUAAUACGAUAUACUCUUUGAGAGUCUAUUAACGAGGUUUUACUGUAUUACAUAUGCUAAUUAAUUUCAAACAAUAUUAAAAUAUAAAUAGAUAAAAAAUAAUUAUAAGUAUUUGAAUAACAUUUAAUUAAUUUAUGUAGUAAAAGAAUUAUACCUACAAAUUGAAACUUGUAUUGUAAAAAUAUUUAAAUUAUUGCUUAUAUGUAGAAAUAAUACUUUAUUAUUCAUAAAAUUUCAACU
This is a long non-coding RNA of Daktulosphaira vitifoliae (grape phylloxera), 1182 nucleotides long. RefSeq lists it as uncharacterized. The record is from RefSeq and is a predicted model, not a curated record. The transcript is spliced from 3 exons. Lineage: Eukaryota; Metazoa; Arthropoda; Insecta; Hemiptera; Phylloxeridae.